CCAAAGUUCAGGUGAGCUCUGUUCAGAGGUCUGAGCUCCGGUCAGAGCUCAGCAUGGCGCGCUUCGAAUAGUCAGGCUGAUGAAAUUGUGCAGUCAGCCAGGCGCUUAUUGCAUUUAAUCAGUUCAUCUGAAAGACAACGGGGCGCAGCUAGUGGUGGAGUAACAAAUCAAGUUCUGAGAGAACAGAGGCAUGCGGAGAGACCAUCACUUCAAAUGGAAAUGACCAGGU
Long non-coding RNA from Perca flavescens (yellow perch), 229 nucleotides. RefSeq lists it as uncharacterized. Lineage: Eukaryota; Metazoa; Chordata; Actinopteri; Perciformes; Percidae. The transcript is spliced from 3 exons. The record is from RefSeq and is a predicted model, not a curated record.